Molecule: long non-coding RNA, 798 nt
Organism: Seriola aureovittata
Lineage: Eukaryota; Metazoa; Chordata; Actinopteri; Carangiformes; Carangidae
Exons: 3
Source: RefSeq, a predicted model, not a curated record
CGGUAGUAUGUGUCCAUGGCGUGUCUACGGACCCCCCAAACAUGAGAAAAGUCCAUACUCUCGUUCUUUUGCUUUCUCCACCUUUCAAGAAAUGUGUGCUCAAACGAGCGGAUUGGAGAUUCGCCCCUGGUGACGUCAAGAAGGGCGAUGCCCCUCCCCCCGGGUGGGUGACGCUCCCCGAGCUAGGUGUGUGUUCCGCCCUCUGAGUCCGUGUUGCAGACGGUAUCGUUACUUCCCUCGCGAACACUGGCUUUCGGUAGAACAAUGUCGAAGGUACAGCGAAACACAGUAGUUGCUUUGUUGUUGGCUGCACAAACCAACACAGGAGUCUUUUUUUUAAUCCCUACGCCCGAGGAUCUGAAGACCCAGUGGAUUCAUUUUAUUUUUGAUGGAAAUGUUCCCGCUCCAACUCCGAAAGUGUUGUACGUGUGUGCUAACCAUUUCACCUCGGACUGCUUUCUCAACCUGGGCCAGGACAACGCAGGAUUUCCUACAAGUCUCAAGAUAAAGCUUGGAUCAGUACCGACUGUCUGUGACCCAACUUUGAACUUCGGAGCUGCCAUCUAUACAGCUUCCUGCAACAGGGGAUGUUGCAUGCCAGACUGACCCACUGUAGGCACACAGUUAUCCUUGAAGAUCUUCAGCGUCACAUCAGAAGUACAGGGAAUGUGGUGGACCUCAUAUUUGAAAAAGUCUUUGUGACCUGGGACCAUACACAGAAGCUGCUUUGGCCAUCCCCAUCCCAGAGGACCUCACUGCACAGUUCGAGCGGCCUGAGAAGGAGGAGGUCAUAUCCAG